AAAUGAAAUGUUUUCCAAAGGAAAACAUGAAAUAUUGGCCUUCGGCCAAUGUGAAAUAUCCCGCUGAUGCGGGAUGUGAAAUAUUCG
RNAcentral lists this small RNA (87 nucleotides) under Clostridiales bacterium. RNAcentral's name for it is "Gut-1 RNA". It matches the Rfam family "Gut-1 RNA". The record is from RNAcentral. Lineage: Bacteria; Bacillati; Bacillota; Clostridia; Eubacteriales.